UACGUAGGUGGCAAGCGUUGUCCGGAUUUAUUGGGUUUAAAGGGUGCGUAGGCGGUUUUGUAAGUCAGUGGUGAAAUACUCUAGCUUAACUAGAGGGGUGCCAAUGAUACUGCAGAACUUGAGUACAGAUGAGGUAGGCGGAAUUGACGGUGUAGCGGUGAAAUGCAUAGAUAUCGUCAAGAACACCUAUAGCGAAGGCAGCUUACUGGGCUGUAACUGACGCUGAGGCACGAAAGUGUGGGGAUCAAACAGG
RNAcentral lists this ribosomal RNA (253 nucleotides) under uncultured bacterium. RNAcentral's name for it is "partial 16S ribosomal RNA". It matches the Rfam family "Bacterial small subunit ribosomal RNA", at positions 524 to 776 of the family's 1533-position model. RNAcentral also lists the same sequence under 1 other name. The record is from RNAcentral.